RNAcentral lists this ribosomal RNA (508 nucleotides) under uncultured bacterium. Its description in RNAcentral is "bacterial SSU rRNA". It matches the Rfam family "Bacterial small subunit ribosomal RNA", at positions 32 to 519 of the family's 1533-position model. The record is from RNAcentral.
AAUCAACGCUGGCGGCGUGCCUCAGACAUGCAAGUCGAACGAGAAGGCUCCUUCGGGAGCCGGGAAGUGGCGCACGGGUGAGUAACACGUGGGUAAUUUACCUUCGGGUGGGGAACAACAGCCGGAAACGGCUGCUAAUACCGCAUAAUGCAGCGGCACCUAAUGGUGACAGUUGUUAAAGCGGGGGAUCGCAAGACCUCGCGCCUGAAGAGAAGCCCGCGGCAGAUUAGGAGUUGGUGAGGUAAUGGCUCACCAAGCCUGCGAUCUGUAGCCGGCCUGAGAGGGCGGUCGGCCACACUGACACUGAACAACGGGUCAGACUCCUACGGGAGGCAGCAGUCGGGAAUUUUGGGCAAUGGGCGAAAGCCUGACCCAGCAACGCCGCGUGAAGGAUGAAGUUUUUCGGAAUGUAAACUUCACAAGAUUGGGAAGAAUAAGUUUCAGCUAAUACCUGAAACGNUGACGGUACCUUUUGUAAGCUCCGGCUAACUCCGUGCCAGCCGCCGCU